UACAAUGAUCGGUUGAAGUGUAGUGGGC
Molecule: non-coding RNA, 28 nt
Filed under: Bombyx mori (domestic silkworm)
Lineage: Eukaryota; Metazoa; Arthropoda; Insecta; Lepidoptera; Bombycidae
Source: RNAcentral